RNAcentral lists this ribosomal RNA (254 nucleotides) under uncultured bacterium. RNAcentral describes it as "partial 16S ribosomal RNA". It matches the Rfam family "Bacterial small subunit ribosomal RNA", at positions 524 to 776 of the family's 1533-position model. The record is from RNAcentral.
CACGUAGGGUGCAAGCGUUGUCCGGAAUCAUUGGGCGUAAAGAGCUCGUAGGCGGCUUAGUAAGUCGGGUGUGAAACCUCCAGGCUCAACCUGGAGACGCCACCCGAUACUGCUAUAGCUAGAGUCCAGUAGGGGAGUGCGGAAUUCCCGGUGUAGCGGUGAAAUGCGCAGAUAUCGGGAGGAACACCAGCGGCGAAGGCGGCACUCUGGGCUGGUACUGACGCUCAGGAGCGAAAGCGUGGGGAGCAAACAGG